GCAAAGUCCUGCUCCUUCGAAAUCAAGAGCUGGAACAGAAGACAAGAGAAAAGACUCCAACAAACAGGACGAUAUUAAAACGCGUUGCAGAAAUGAGGGAGAAAGAGGCACUUUCUGUUCUGAUGGAAAUAAAUGUGAUGGAGAGAUUUACACCCAGGAAGAUUCCCCAAUUUACUUGUAUUAUCUGUCAUUACUUUGCAAUGCUGGAGCUGAUAAUCCUGAUAUCAAAGAAGCAGUUGCGCUCUCUAAGAUUGUUCGAAUAGGAGAUAUAUUACCCAAAAGGCCGCUAUCACCACUUUACGCCUAUCACAAGAAACAUGAGAACACUACAAUAAAACCUGCAGGAGAGAAACCCAAACAAUAAAUGCCGAGGUGUUUAAUACUAAACUAUUCACUAGGUUCUGCAUCUUAAAGGGAUUCUAUAAUAAGCAAUAAAAGCAAAUAAUGAUAAAUGACUCUCCCAAUCAAUGAUCUAACGUUAAUAGUGCAUGACUACACAGCCAACGCAUUUCACUGCUGGCUGGGCUUCGGAACUCAAUAAUUUCCCUGUUAAUAUUAUGAAAAAUGAAUGAUAGCCCUUCAUUCCUGGUCUCGUCAUGAAGUGAAAAUGCUUAUUUAUUUCUUCAGAUUUCAAUGCUUUCUGAUUGUUACAAAUGAAAUAAAAAUCAUUGCUUAACCAAUUA
Molecule: non-coding RNA, 683 nt
Organism: Pelobates cultripes (western spadefoot toad)
Lineage: Eukaryota; Metazoa; Chordata; Amphibia; Anura; Pelobatidae
Source: the annotation of a GenBank genome assembly